AGAGUUUGAUCAUGGCUCAGAACGAACGCUGGCGGCAGGCUUAACACAUGCAAGUCGAACGAUGUAGCAAUACAUAGUGGCGCACGGGUGAGUAACGCGUGGGAAUAUACCUUAUAGUGGGGAAUAACUUUGGGAAACUAAAGUUAAUACCGCAUACGCCCGAGAGGGGAAAGAUUUAUCGCUAUAAGAUUAGCCCGCGUGAGAUUAGGUAGUUGGUGGGGUAAUGGCCUACCAAGCCUACGAUCUCUAGCUGGUCUGAGAGGAUGAUCAGCCACACUGGAACUGAGACACGGUCCAGACUCCUACGGGAGGCAGCAGUGGGGAAUAUUGGGCAAUGGAGGAAACUCUGACCCAGCCAUGCCGCGUGAAUGAUGAAGGCCUUAGGGUUGUAAAGUUCUUUCGCCGAUGAAGAUAAUGACGGUAGUCGGAGAAGAAGCCCCGGCUAACUUCGUGCCAGCAGCCGCGGUAAUACGAAGGGGGCUAGCGUUGUUCGGAAUUACUGGGCGUAAAGCGAGCGUAGGUUGCUCGAUAAGUCAGUGGUGAAAGCCCAGAGCUCAACUCUGGAACUGCCAUUGAAACUGUCGAGCUGGAAUCUCAGAGGGGGUAGCGGAAUUCCAAAUGUAGGGGUGAAAUCCGUAGAUAUUUGGAGGAACACCGGUGGCGAAGGCGGCUACCUGGAUGAGUAUUGACACUGAGGCUCGAAAGCGUGGGGAUCAAACAGGAUUAGAUACCCUGGUAGUCC
RNAcentral lists this ribosomal RNA (742 nucleotides) under uncultured bacterium. RNAcentral's name for it is "bacterial SSU rRNA". It matches the Rfam family "Bacterial small subunit ribosomal RNA", at positions 8 to 796 of the family's 1533-position model. The record is from RNAcentral.